Molecule: ribosomal RNA, 885 nt
Filed under: uncultured archaeon
Lineage: Archaea
Description: bacterial SSU rRNA
Rfam family: Archaeal small subunit ribosomal RNA
Source: RNAcentral
CUGUCGGAUGACUAGCAUGCGAGUCAUUGUAGCAAUACAAGGCAGACGGCUCAGUAACGCGUAGUCAACCUAACCUAUGGACGGGAAUAAUCUCGGGAAACUGAGAAUAAUGCCCGAUAGAACACUAUAUCUGGAAUGGUUUGUGUUCCAAAUGAUUUAUCGCCAUAGGAUGGGACUGCGGCCUAUCAGUUUGUUGGUGAGGUGAUGGCCCACCAAGACUAUUACAGGUACGGGCUCUGAGAGGAGUAGCCCGGAGAUGGGUACUGAGACACGGACCCAGGCCCUAUGGGGCGCAGCAGGCGAGAAAACUUUGCAAUGUGCGAAAGCACGACAAGGUUAAUCCGAGUGGUUUCUGCUAAAGGAACCUUUUGUCGGUCCUAGAAACACCGAUGAAUAAGGGGUGGGCAAGUUCUGGUGUCAGCCGCCGCGGUAAAACCAGCACCUCAAGUGGUCAGGAUGAUUAUUGGGCCUAAAGCAUCCGUAGCCGGCUCUGUAAGUUUUCGGUUAAAUCUGUACGCUUAACGUACAGGCUGCCGGGAAUACUGCAUAGCUAGGGAGUGGGAGAGGUAGACGGUACUCGGUAGGAAGGGGUAAAAUCCUUUGAUCUAUUGAUGACCACCUGUGGCGAAGGCGGUCUACCAGAACACGUCCGACGGUGAGGGAUGAAAGCUGGGGGAGCAAACCGGAUUAGAUACCCGGGUAGUCCCAGCUGUAAACUAUGCAAACUCAGUGAUGCAUUGGCUUGUGGCCAAUGCAGUGCUGCAGGGAAGCCGUUAAGUUUGCCGCCUGGGAAGUACGUACGCAAGUAUGAAACUUAAAGGAAUUGGCGGGGGAGCACCACAAGGGGUGAAGCCUGCGGUUCAAUUGGAGUCAACGCCGGGAAUC